Molecule: transfer RNA, 85 nt
Filed under: Binatia bacterium
Lineage: Bacteria; Candidatus Binatota; Binatia (SeqCode)
Description: tRNA-Ser
Rfam family: tRNA
About the family: Transfer RNA (tRNA) molecules are approximately 80 nucleotides in length.
Source: RNAcentral
GGAGGGGUGGCCGAGCGGACGAAGGCACCGGUCUUGAAAACCGGCGACCCGUGAGGGUCCGUGGGUUCGAAUCCCACCCCCUCCG